This 73-nucleotide transfer RNA is filed under the name Felis catus (domestic cat). It matches the Rfam family "tRNA". Rfam says of the family: Transfer RNA (tRNA) molecules are approximately 80 nucleotides in length. The record is from Rfam by way of RNAcentral. Lineage: Eukaryota; Metazoa; Chordata; Mammalia; Carnivora; Felidae.
GCCUUGCUGGCUCCGCUGGUGGAGCAUGGGGCUCUUGAUCUCCAGGUCGUGAGUUCAAGCCCCACGCUGGGCG